ACGAAGGGUGCUAGCGUUGUUCGGAAUCACUGGGCGUAAAGCGCGCGUAGGCGGCUAUGCAAGUCAGAGGUGAAAGCCCGGGGCUCAACCCCGGAAUUGCCUCUGAAACUGCAUAGCUGGAGUGUCGGAGGGGAUAGCGGAAUUCCUAAUGUAGAGGUGAAAUUCGUAGAUAUUAGGAGGAACACCGGUGGCGAAGGCGGCUAUCUGGACGACAACUGACGCUGAGGCGCGAAAGCGUGGGGAUCAAACAGGA
This 253-nucleotide ribosomal RNA is filed under the name uncultured prokaryote. RNAcentral's name for it is "partial 16S ribosomal RNA". It matches the Rfam family "Bacterial small subunit ribosomal RNA", at positions 525 to 777 of the family's 1533-position model. The record is from RNAcentral.